GAUUACUGGGUUUUUACUUCGUUCGACCUGACGCCUUAAGCAAGAGUUUUGAAGGAAACCACUCUGGAGAAGCACCUCACAAGGGCUGCAGUUGGAAGUUUGGGUCGGCACCUUCCCACAGCCCUUUAGGUCAAAUGGAGCUAGUUUGGGGAAGGUGCACAGGAGGGGACGCUAAUUCAGUUAAGCCCCUGGGCGCUGGCCCUUACAAAUACACUGACCCGAAGUCUGGAGGAACUCUUAGCUUCAAGGCUGUACACUUCAUGUGGCCCAGCUUUAGAGAAUUAGUUGGGAACGAUAUGUUUGAGACAUUGAGGUAGGUGUUUGAGGUGUUGUCCUUUACCCCAGGCUGGCAUGGAACUUGCUCUGUAGCCCGGAACUCAUGCCAGUCUCGUCUCAGCCUACCCCGGAAGCUGAGAUUACAGGUGUGCGCCACCACAACCAUAACUGUUCACUUAGGUGACACUGGUGAGAUUUAAAAUAAAUUGAA
This 487-nucleotide long non-coding RNA is filed under the name Rattus norvegicus (Norway rat). RNAcentral describes it as "long non-coding RNA NONRATT010751". The record is from RNAcentral. Lineage: Eukaryota; Metazoa; Chordata; Mammalia; Rodentia; Muridae.